Molecule: long non-coding RNA, 1440 nt
Organism: Lolium rigidum
Lineage: Eukaryota; Viridiplantae; Streptophyta; Magnoliopsida; Poales; Poaceae
Exons: 7
Source: RefSeq, a predicted model, not a curated record
CCCGCCACCCACCGUCCAUGGCGGAGCAGGAGAAGGACGGUGCCUGGGUGCACAAGAUCCCUCCGACCCGCCGCCAAGAUCCCUCCGAGUCCACGUCGACCUGAUCCGCCAAUUUUGCCUGCCACAGCCUGCAAGUGUGCAAAGUAUCCUUGUGAUGCCUUCAUUCUAUACGCAAUUCACAGAACGGCUGGACUUAGGAGCGGCACGCCUAUCAAAUCAAGGCGGGGCUAUGGGUGACCCUGCGGGUGCCAGAGAUGCGGAGAAUAAGGAGCUGGCCUACACGGUACUAAGUGAUGGUGGUACGUCCAUUGCACGCAUUUGGUUCGUCCGAUAUUCCGCGAUCAGUCCCACGCGCCUCCACGGCCGGCCCUGAUCGCGGCCUCGACCUCCAUGGGAUCUCCACCGAGUGCUGCCCCGACAUGCUGCUCUGUACAAUAAUGCCCACGCUCCCGUCGGCCAGGCAUGCCGUCCCAGGGCUGGUCAUCACCGUUUCCUGACUCUGUUUCUCCAGGUCUAUGGUCGCCAUCGUUGGAGGUCUAUGGUUGUCCAGUCCAUGCUACAGAAGUAUAGCUCCAUCCAUCCUAGGGUGCUCCAAUAAGGGUACACAAGGCCACUUGUUGGAUUCUUUGUGUCGAAGACACUUGGUUACUACAGUGCUGGGAGUCUAGGACAAAAGUGGAGCAUGGCAUCAAUCUUGUCGAGCCGGUCUCAGCAGGGCCUCCUCUCUCGCCGCUUCCUUCCAGAAACCAAGGAUAGUUAUUUUGCAACUUCUUCUUUCAGUCCAUUUGAUGCGUGCAGUGAGAAUAAAUGCCAAUGGUUGUCAGGUUAUUGUGGUACGGUAUUUGGAAGAGCAAACUGCAGUGAUGAACUACUUACUUUUGAUAUGGUAGAGAGGACUGGAGUUGAGAAAACCUCUGUAGUCUGUACUCUCAUCCUAGAUUUCAGGUCAGUAUUGCCUAAUUGAAUAGUUCUUUUUGGUUGGAACAGGGAUUUAUUUUGACAAUCAUUGUAGUCUCUCCUGCUCCAGGGCUACGGAGCAGAAUACAACAAGGAGAGUUAUGCUACUAAACUAUACUCGUUAUUCUGCUGGCUGUACAUCCAUCUAUUGGGGGAUGCUACUUAGCUUCACAUUUUUGUGCACCUGACAUGCUUGAACUAAUUGGAUGGAAUGAGCUGUCUUGCAAUACCAUUUUUAUCACAAAUGAUGAAGUUCAUUGUAUCAAAGUCUUCAAUUUGACUAAGUGUUGAUUUGGACUUGAAAGUUGAUGGCCAUGCUCACUUACGUCCAGUAAGUUGUAAUAUGCAUUGUGGCUGAUUUGUUGUUCACUUUUUUUUCCUAUUAUAACUGAAACCCAGGUCGCUGCCAGACAUGUCGUGAAGAAAUUCCACCAUUGGACAUGAGCUCAGUUUUCCUUCUUAGUAGCCACUGAUGGAGGUUUA